Molecule: non-coding RNA, 21 nt
Filed under: Arabidopsis thaliana (thale cress)
Lineage: Eukaryota; Viridiplantae; Streptophyta; Magnoliopsida; Brassicales; Brassicaceae
Source: RNAcentral
CCUUUGGUGUGCAUUGGUCGG